This 395-nucleotide unclassified non-coding RNA is filed under the name soil metagenome. Its description in RNAcentral is "partial contains 5.8S ribosomal RNA, internal transcribed spacer 2, and large subunit ribosomal RNA". The stretch from base 1 to 122 matches the Rfam family "5.8S ribosomal RNA", at positions 35 to 154 of the family's 154-position model. The record is from RNAcentral.
GAUGAAGAACGCAGCGAAAUGCGAUACUUGGUGUGAAUUGCAGAAUCCCGUGAACCAUCGAGUCUUUGAACGCAAGUUGCGCCCGAAGCCAUCAGGUUGAGGGCACGUCUGCCUGGGCGUCACAUAUCGUUGCUCGAUGCCUAUCGCAUUGCGAUAGGACUUAGGGCGAAUGAUGGCUUCCCGUGAGCGUUGUUGCCUCGCGGUUGGUUGAAAAUCGAGUCCUUGGUAGGGUGUGCCAUGAUAGAUGGUGGUCGAGUGACGUACGAGACCCAAUCAUGUGAGACCCCUACCGAAUUUGGCCUUCAUGACCCACAUGCGUCUUUGGAACGCUCAUGACGAGACCUCAGGUCAGGCGGGGCUACCCGCUGAGUUUAAGCAUAUCAAUAAGCGGAGGA